AAAUUAUUUAAGGACUUUAUAAGCGGAACCUUGGCAGAUUAAAACUCACUGUUAGGUGAAACUGCAUAGAUUUUUUCUCAGGUGUUUUACCUUAUUCGUUGAUGUGGGAACUGGAGGGAGAAAUGCAAUGGAGUCCCUGGCUGUGUUUAUUGACCGCGAUUUGAAGGGUUACUGACAUCCAAGAUGAGUGACCGCUGCCCCCGGUGGAUUUGUGGGAGUUUCUUUAUGGGCCUUGAGGCCAGUUGGCAAUUGAGGAAUAAACCAGUAAUCAGUGGAAGGAGAGAGUAAGCUGUUCUGACAAAAGGUGAAGAUAGACUCUUCAAAGGGGAGGAGUCAGCUGUGAAGGCUUCGUUUAAUGAUGACAGUCAGUACUCUUUCAUACCCUGGCAAAAGCUACAUGAGCACAGUAAUUGUGAUAUUGUGAGCAGAAAUGACAGUUAUGAUUGCAUCGAUUGACUGGUGCUGUGAAUAACCUUCAGUGUUUUUUUUUAGAAUCCAGAUUUGAUUGGUGGAUCUGUGUCACCUGAUGUAUUUUUUUUCUGGUUUUUCUGGUUUAUGUGUGGAGUUUCACACUCUAUGCACCAUAGCCUUUCUCUUAUUACAGGAAAUAUCGAUCCAGAAAAAUGGGAUAAAAAUACUUGGUUUUUGGUCUGAGGUCUCAGAAGGCAAUUUAUACUCUAUUCUACUAAUAUUCUAACCUUUUACUCUUUCUCAAAUUGUAAAAUUAGUACUCAUAGUCUGUUCAUCCCAACAUGGUGGAUGCAAAGAUACCAUUUUAAAUACAUUUAAUAUUUGGAAUGAAAUUAAUUGCAUUUUUUGAGCAGAUAAGAUAAAAUGUUGAAUCUCUGUAAGAAGUGUGGUCCUCCUGGGAGUUAGAGGCAUCUAUUGCAUGAUUUAGUUUUAGCUGAGUACAAUGUGAGCUUAGGUGGUAUCCAAUUUUUCAUGUAUCAUAUUGUCCAUGCAUUACACCACUGUAUAUAUAUAUGGUCUUUUGAUGAUAUUUUCAAAAGCAACGCUAUUCCAGAACUUCUUGGAGAUCUUGCAGAUAAUAUUAGCCAAAUUUACCCAAAAUAGCUCAGUAUACCCAAAUGACCACAGUGUACCCAAAUUACUAUGAUAUACCCCAUUAACUUGACAAGGACAUUAUUUUGGGUUGAGCAUGGUGGGGGGGGGGGGGUUUACAGUGUCCCCAUUUCCCCCUUAAUUUACACCCAUGUACCUUGACACUGAGCCUAGUAUAAGGGUACGACUAAACAGAAUGAAUCACUCUCAGGUGCGUCCACUGCAGUUGUUGUUUUACCUUUGAUAGUGAAACAGAAGCUGAGCAUUCCAGGCACAUUCUCCGCACUGCACGCCAGUACCACAGCACAUUCUCCGCACUGCACGCCGGUACCACAGCACAUUCUCCGCACUGCACGCCAGUACCACAGCACAUUCUCCACACUGCACGCCAG
Molecule: non-coding RNA, 1454 nt
Organism: Paramormyrops kingsleyae
Lineage: Eukaryota; Metazoa; Chordata; Actinopteri; Osteoglossiformes; Mormyridae
Source: RefSeq, a predicted model, not a curated record